RNAcentral lists this ribosomal RNA (404 nucleotides) under Verrucomicrobiota bacterium. RNAcentral describes it as "Verrucomicrobia bacterium partial 16S ribosomal RNA". It matches the Rfam family "Bacterial small subunit ribosomal RNA", at positions 355 to 776 of the family's 1533-position model. Lineage: Bacteria; Pseudomonadati; Verrucomicrobiota. The record is from RNAcentral.
UGGGGAAUAUUGGACAAUGGGGGGAACCCUGAUCCAGCGACGCCGCGUGAGUGAAGAAGUAUUUCGGUAUGUAAAGCUCUAUCAGCAGGGAAGAAAAUGACGGUACCUGACUAAGAAGCCCCGGCUAACUACGUGCCAGCAGCCGCGGUAAUACGUAGGGGGCAAGCGUUAUCCGGAUUUACUGGGUGUAAAGGGAGCGCAGACGGUUUUGCAAGUCUGAAGUGAAAGCCCGAGGCUUAACCUCGGAGUUGCUUUGGAAACUGUAUAACUAGAGUAUCGGAGAGGUAAGUGGAAUUCCUAGUGUAGCGGUGAAAUGCGUAGAUAUUAGGAGGAACACCGGUGGCGAAGGCGGCUUACUGGACGAAAACUGACGUUGAGGCUCGAAGGCGUGGGGAGCAAACAGG